This is a long non-coding RNA of Rattus norvegicus (Norway rat), 594 nucleotides long. RefSeq lists it as uncharacterized. NCBI's taxonomy places the organism in Eukaryota, Metazoa, Chordata, Mammalia, Rodentia, Muridae. The record is from RefSeq and is a predicted model, not a curated record.
GGAUGAGGAGGAAGGAUGGGUGGGAGAAAAGUUUGAGGGAGGAGGAGGAGACUGGAACAAGGAGACUGUAAUGGAAAGGACAAGAGACGGGAGGAGACUGGAAGAAGAGCUUUCGAGAGAACAUGGAGGCUGAUGUUAAGGUUCCAUGCUGUACCUUCACAGAAAUAGUGGUGAUCCCGGAUCGCUGAAGAUAACAGCUAUACAACUUAUCGAACAUGAAGAAAUCAAACUAGUGCCUGCCCUUACUGACGAGUGUUCAUGUUACUGGAAGCUACUCUUCACCCUACCAAAGGACAAAGUGUGACAAUUGAGCCUCCUAUCUCCUACGUGGUAGUCAAGCAUCACAUCCCUGGGGGACAGCUCCACUCCCGGGUGCUUAGGUGUGUUGCAAUCACUGAGACACCUGCGGGCAAGAGGCAAGUCUACCAGGGCCAUUUAGUCUUAGGCGCCCCUCCCCCACACAUUUCUACUUCCGCAUCUUCCCCCGCCUGAAAUUAAGAACUGUAUUACCUCACAACUGUUCUAAGAUUUGUAUUUGGAUCACGGGUUUUCCAACCCUGACAACUAAAAUAUGCAUUUUUUUGAGUCUCCAAA